RNAcentral lists this ribosomal RNA (373 nucleotides) under uncultured organism. Its description in RNAcentral is "partial 16S ribosomal RNA". It matches the Rfam family "Bacterial small subunit ribosomal RNA", at positions 527 to 896 of the family's 1533-position model. The record is from RNAcentral.
GUAGGUGGCAAGCGUUGUCCGGAAUUAUUGGGCGUAAAGCGCGCGCAGGCGGUUCUUUAAGUCUGAUGUGAAAGCCCACGGCUCAACCGUGGAGGGUCAUUGGAAACUGGAGAACUUGAGUACAGAAGAGGAAAGCGGAAUUCCACGUGUAGCGGUGAAAUGCGUAGAGAUGUGGAGGAACACCAGUGGCGAAGGCGGCUUUCUGGUCUGUAACUGACGCUGAGGCGCGAAAGCGUGGGGAGCAAACAGGGAUUAGAUACCCUGGUAGUCCACGCCGUAAACGAUGAGCGCUAAGUGUUAGGGGGUUUCCGCCCCCUUAGUGCUGCAGCUAACGCAUUAAGCACUCCGCCUGGGGAGUACGGCCGCAAGGCUA